Molecule: long non-coding RNA, 342 nt
Filed under: Fukomys damarensis (Damara mole-rat)
Lineage: Eukaryota; Metazoa; Chordata; Mammalia; Rodentia; Bathyergidae
Description: lncRNA (ENSFDAG00000026796.1)
Source: RNAcentral
CGUUAGAACAAAAAAGGAUGCAAAAAAGCAAACUGCUUUACACGUGACCUCGUUUUCUGAGGCACCGUUGAUGUGGUUGAUCCCAGACAUGUCGUGUGACGUGGAGCUGGCAAUCUCAUCUGGGCUGAGGGUGAGAGUCAGAACGUUGGGUGUUCCUGGAAGGAGAUACAGGUGGAAGGUCUCCGAGAGAUCUUUUCACUAUUGAAGAAAAAAAUAUUUCUUGGACAGGAGAACUGGGUAGAGAUGGAUAAAGACAUCCUUUUCAUUGUAAAACCCUUUUUAUUACUUGAUUUUUAAAAAUCAACUGUAGACACUACUUUUUGAAAAAACACUAGAAAGCAG